GCCUUGGUUCAAUGGUAGAAUGCUGGAUUGCUACUCGGGCAACCCGGGUUUGAUCCCCGGCCAACGCACCA
Parelaphostrongylus tenuis is the source of this 71-nucleotide non-coding RNA. The record is from the annotation of a GenBank genome assembly. NCBI's taxonomy places the organism in Eukaryota, Metazoa, Nematoda, Chromadorea, Rhabditida, Metastrongylidae.